Molecule: transfer RNA, 65 nt
Filed under: Neocentrocnemis stali
Lineage: Eukaryota; Metazoa; Arthropoda; Insecta; Hemiptera; Reduviidae
Description: tRNA-Leu
Source: RNAcentral
CCUAUUUUGGCAGAUUAGUGCAAUAAGUUUAAGCCUUAUAUAUAAAGAUCCAUCUUUUUUUAGGA